AGUUUAUAGAUGCGUUACAUCAAUUACAUUCAAAUUACGAUAUGGGUUUGUGUAGUGGCAGACGGAGAAAACACCCUUGCAAAAGAGCAAACUCCCCGUCUCACAGGUGCACAGGUGUGUGUGGAUGAAAGAGAAGGCGUGCACAUGCCAAAGGAGGCCAGCGACAACCGACUCUACAUUCAUUCGAUAAUGAUCCUUCCGCAGGUUCACCUACGGAAA
Molecule: unclassified non-coding RNA, 219 nt
Filed under: uncultured fungus
Lineage: Eukaryota; Fungi
Description: sequence contains ITS1
Source: RNAcentral